Girardinichthys multiradiatus is the source of this 155-nucleotide long non-coding RNA. RefSeq lists it as uncharacterized. The transcript is spliced from 3 exons. The record is from RefSeq and is a predicted model, not a curated record. Lineage: Eukaryota; Metazoa; Chordata; Actinopteri; Cyprinodontiformes; Goodeidae.
ACUGGUUUUAAGGUGGGAACACUGGCUUUAAGGUGGGAACACUGGUUUUAAGGUGGGAACACUGGUUUUAAGGUGGGAACACUGGUUUUAAGGUGGGAACACUGGCUUUAAGGUGGGAACACUGGUUUUAAGGUGGGAACACUGGCUUUAAGGUG